This 502-nucleotide ribosomal RNA is filed under the name uncultured bacterium. RNAcentral describes it as "bacterial SSU rRNA". It matches the Rfam family "Bacterial small subunit ribosomal RNA", at positions 410 to 905 of the family's 1533-position model. The record is from RNAcentral.
GAAGGCCUUCGGGUUGUAAACCGCUUUUGUACGGAACGAAACGGUCUGCUCUAAUAAAGUGGGCUAAUGACGGUACCGUAAGAAUAAGCACCGGCUAACUACGUGCCAGCAGCCGCGGUAAUACGUAGGGUGCGAGCGUUAAUCGGAAUUACUGGGCGUAAAGCGUGCGCAGGCGGUUAUAUAAGACAGUUGUGAAAUCCCCGGGCUCAACCUGGGAAUUGCAUCUGUGACUGUAUAGCUAGAGUACGGUAGAGGGGGAUGGAAUUCCGCGUGUAGCAGUGAAAUGCGUAGAUAUGCGGAGGAACACCGAUGGCGAAGGCAAUCCCCUGGACCUGUACUGACGCUCAUGCACGAAAGCGUGGGGAGCAAACAGGAUUAGAUACCCUGGUAGUCCACGCCCUAAACGAUGUCAACUGGUUGUUGGGUGCAUUAGUACUCAGUAACGAAGCUAACGCGUGAAGUUGACCGCCUGGGGAGUACGGCCGCAAGGUUGAAACUCAAA